GCAUAUCAAUAAGCGGAGGAAAAGAAACUAACAAGGAUUCCCUCAGUAACGGCGAGUGAAGCGGGAAGAGCUCAAAUUUAAAAUCUGGCUUGCUUGCAAGUCCGAGUUGUAGUCUGAAGAAGCGUUUUCCAUAAGCACUGAGGCACAAGUCCCUUGGAACAGGGCAUCAUAGAGGGUGAGAAUCCCGUCCAUGGUCUCAAGUCGCUUAUUUUGUGAUACGCUUUCAAAGAGUCAGGUUGUUUGGGAAUGCAGCCUAAAAUGGGUGGUAAAUUUCAUCUAAAGCUAAAUAUUGGCGAGAGACCGAUAGCGAACAAGUACCGUGAGGGAAAGAUGAAAAGAACUUUGAAAAGAGAGUUAAACAGUACGUGAAAUUGUUGAAAGGGAACCGUUUGAAGCCAGUCUUACUUGCCUGUGAUCAGUUUGUACCUCGGUAUGAAUGCACUCUUGGGUAUGGUAGGCCAACGACAGUUUGGAGUGCGAGAAAAAAACUUGGGAAAUGUGGCCUUCGGGUGUUAUAGUCCCUUGUAAAAUAUCGUGUUCCGGACUGAGGAUCGCAGUAAAAAUGUGGGCAGGUAGAUUUCUGUGGCGAAUGUUUAUUAGGACAACUUGUUGACCUAGUUUGCACGAACUUCACUGUUUGCCUCGCUUCUAAUUUGCUUAGGUCGUUGGCAUAAUGGCUUUAAAUGACCCGUCUUGAAACACGGACCAAGGAGUCUAACAUAUAUGCGAGUAUUUGGGUGACAAACCCAUAUGCGCAAUGAAAGUGAAACUAGGUGCCAAACCUCACGGUGGCAGCAUCGGCCGGCUCUGACGUUUUAACUGACGAGUCUGAGCAGAAGCAUACAUGUUGGGACCCGAAAGAUGGUGAACUAUGCCUGAAUAGGGUGAAGCCAGAGGAAACUCUGGUGGAGGCUCGUAGCGAUUCUGACGUGCAAAUCGAUCGUCAAAUUUGGGUAUAGGGGCGAAAGACUAAUCGA
RNAcentral lists this ribosomal RNA (977 nucleotides) under Umbelopsis fusiformis. RNAcentral describes it as "LSU rRNA". It matches the Rfam family "Eukaryotic large subunit ribosomal RNA", at positions 38 to 938 of the family's 3401-position model. Lineage: Eukaryota; Fungi; Mucoromycota; Umbelopsidomycetes; Umbelopsidales; Umbelopsidaceae. The record is from RNAcentral.